This 117-nucleotide ribosomal RNA is filed under the name Actinomadura coerulea. RNAcentral's name for it is "partial 16S ribosomal RNA". It matches the Rfam family "Bacterial small subunit ribosomal RNA", at positions 27 to 145 of the family's 1533-position model. The record is from RNAcentral. Lineage: Bacteria; Bacillati; Actinomycetota; Actinomycetes; Streptosporangiales; Thermomonosporaceae.
GGACGAACGCUGGCGGCGUGCUUAACACAUGCAAGUCGAGCGGAAAGGCCCUUCGGGGGUACUCGAGCGGCGAACGGGUGAGUAACACGUGAGCAACCUGCCCCCGACUCUGGGAUA